UUAAGCGACUAAGCGUACACGGUGGAUGCCCUGGCAGUCAGAGGCGAUGAAGGACGUGCUAAUCUGCGAAAAGCGUCGGUAAGGUGAUAUGAACCGUUAUAACCGGCGAUGUCCGAAUGGGGAAACCCAGUGUGAUUCGUCACACUAUCGUUAACUGAAUACAUAGGUUAACGAGGCGAACCGGGGGAACUGAAACAUCUAAGUACCCCGAGGAAAAGAAAUCAACCGAGAUUCCCCCAGUAGCGGCGAGCGAACGGGGAGCAGCCCAGAGUCUGAAUCAGCUUGUGUGUUAGUGGAACGGUCUGGAAAGUCCGACGGUACAGGGUGAUAGUCCCGUACACCAAAAUGCACAGGCUGUGAACUCGAAGAGUAGGGCGGGACACGUGGUAUCCUGUCUGAAUAUGGGGGGACCAUCCUCCAAGGCUAAAUACUCCUGACUGACCGAUAGUGAACCAGUACCGUGAGGGAAAGGCGAAAAGAACCCCGGCGAGGGGAGUGAAAAAGAACCUGAAACCGUGUACGUACAAGCAGUGGGAGCACCUUCGGGUGUGACUGCGUACCUUUUGUAUAAUGGGUCAGCGACUUAUAUUCUGUAGCAAGGUUAACCGUAUAGGGGAGCCGCAGGGAAACCGAGUCUUAACUGGGCGUUAAGUUGCAGGGUAUAGACCCGAAACCCGGUGAUCUAGCCAUGGGCAGGUUGAAGGUUGGGUAACACUAACUGGAGGACCGAACCGACUAAUGUUGAAAAAUUAGCGGAUGACUUGUGGCUGGGGGUGAAAGGCCAAUCAAACCGGGAGAUAGCUGGUUCUCCCCGAAAGCUAUUUAGGUAGCGCCUCGUGAACUCAUCUUCGGGGGUAGAGCACUGUUUCGGCUAGGGGGUCAUCCCGACUUACCAACCCGAUGCAAACUACGAAUACCGAAGAAUGUUAUCACGGGAGACACACGGCGGGUGCUAACGUCCGUCGUGAAGAGGGAAACAACCCAGACCGCCAGCUAAGGUCCCAAAGUCAUGGUUAAGUGGGAAACGAUGUGGGAAGGCACAGACAGCCAGGAUGUUGGCUUAGAAGCAGCCAUCAUUUAAAGAAAGCGUAAUAGCUCACUGGUCGAGUCGGCCUGCGCGGAAGAUGUAACGGGGCUAAACCAUGCACCGAAGCUGCGGCAGCGACACUAUGUGUUGUUGGGUAGGGGAGCGUUCUGUAAGCCUGCGAAGGUGUGCUGUGAGGCAUGCUGGAGGUAUCAGAAGUGCGAAUGCUGACAUAAGUAACGAUAAAGCGGGUGAAAAGCCCGCUCGCCGGAAGACCAAGGGUUCCUGUCCAACGUUAAUCGGGGCAGGGUGAGUCGACCCCUAAGGCGAGGCCGAAAGGCGUAGUCGAUGGGAAACAGGUUAAUAUUCCUGUACUUGGUGUUACUGCGAAGGGGGGACGGAGAAGGCUAUGUUAGCCGGGCGACGGUUGUCCCGGUUUAAGCAUGUAGGCUGAUUGUCCAGGCAAAUCCGGAUAAUCAAGGCUGAGGUGUGAUGACGAGGCACUACGGUGCUGAAGUAACAAAUGCCCUGCUUCCAGGAAAAGCCUCUAAGCAUCAGGUAACAUUAAAUCGUACCCCAAACCGACACAGGUGGUCAGGUAGAGAAUACCAAGGCGCUUGAGAGAACUCGGGUGAAGGAACUAGGCAAAAUGGUGCCGUAACUUCGGGAGAAGGCACGCUGGUGUGUAGGUGAAGUCCCUGCGGAUGGAGCUGAGACCAGUCGAAGAUACCAGCUGGCUGCAACUGUUUAUUAAAAACACAGCACUGUGCAAACACGAAAGUGGACGUAUACGGUGUGACGCCUGCCCGGUGCCGGAAGGUUAAUUGAUGGGGUUAUCCGUAAGGAGAAGCUCUUGAUCGAAGCCCCGGUAAACGGCGGCCGUAACUAUAACGGUCCUAAGGUAGCGAAAUUCCUUGUCGGGUAAGUUCCGACCUGCACGAAUGGCGUAAUGAUGGCCAGGCUGUCUCCACCCGAGACUCAGUGAAAUUGAACUCGCUGUGAAGAUGCAGUGUACCCGCGGCAAGACGGAAAGACCCCGUGAACCUUUACUAUAGCUUGACACUGAACAUUGAGCCUUGAUGUGUAGGAUAGGUGGGAGGCUUUGAAGCGUGGACGCCAGUCUGCGUGGAGCCAACCUUGAAAUACCACCCUUUAAUGUUUGAUGUUCUAACGUUGGCCCCUGACCGGGGUUGCGGACAGUGUCUGGUGGGUAGUUUGACUGGGGCGGUCUCCUCCCAAAGCGUAACGGAGGAGCACGAAGGUUAGCUAAUCCUGGUCGGACAUCAGGAGGUUAGUGCAAUGGCAUAAGCUAGCUUGACUGCGAGCGUGACGGCGCGAGCAGGUGCGAAAGCAGGUCAUAGUGAUCCGGUGGUUCUGAAUGGAAGGGCCAUCGCUCAACGGAUAAAAGGUACUCCGGGGAUAACAGGCUGAUACCGCCCAAGAGUUCAUAUCGACGGCGGUGUUUGGCACCUCGAUGUCGGCUCAUCACAUCCUGGGGCUGAAGUAGGUCCCAAGGGUAUGGCUGUUCGCCAUUUAAAGUGGUACGCGAGCUGGGUUUAGAACGUCGUGAGACAGUUCGGUCCCUAUCUGCCGUGGGCGCUGGAGAAUUGAGGGGGGCUGCUCCUAGUACGAGAGGACCGGAGUGGACGCAUCACUGGUGUUCGGGUUGUCAUGCCAAUGGCACUGCCCGGUAGCUAAAUGCGGAAGAGAUAAGUGCUGAAAGCAUCUAAGCACGAAACUUGCCCCGAGAUGAGUUCUCCCUGAGACUUUAAGUCUCCUGAAGGAACGUUGAAGACGACGACGUUGAUAGGCCGGGUGUGUAAGCGCAGCGAUGCGUUGAGCUAACCGGUACUAAUGAACCGUGAGGCUUAACCUU
Molecule: ribosomal RNA, 2900 nt
Filed under: Klebsiella pneumoniae CHS 14
Lineage: Bacteria; Pseudomonadati; Pseudomonadota; Gammaproteobacteria; Enterobacterales; Enterobacteriaceae
Description: bacterial LSU rRNA
Rfam family: Bacterial large subunit ribosomal RNA
Source: RNAcentral